AAGCCCGUGAGAAUGCCCUCAAUCCCCCACCCGGGGACGAGGAGCAGGCAUCAGGCACAAACUUUAGCCCAAGACGCCUUGCCAUGCCACACCCCCAAGGGAAUUCAGCAGUGAUAGAUAUUAAGCCAUAAGUGAAAGCUUGACUUAGUCAGGGAUAAGAGGGCCGGUAAAACUCGUGCCAGCCACCGCGGUUAUACGAGAGGCCCUAGUUGAUGGACACGGCGUAAAGGGUGGUUAAGGUCCAAUACAAAUAAAGCCAAAAGACCUCUUGGCUGUCAUACGCCCCUGAGUUUCCGAAGCCCACGUACGAAAGUAGCUUUAAUAUUAUUCACCUGACCCCACGAAAGCUGAGAAACAAACUGGGAUUAGAUACCCCACUAUGCUCAGCCGUAAACUUAGGCGUUAUUUUACAAUAAACGCCCGCCAGGGUACUACGAGCAUUAGCUUAAAACCCAAAGGACUUGGCGGUGCCUUAGACCCCCCUAGAGGAGCCUGUUCUAGAACCGAUAACCCCCGUUAAACCUCACCACUUCAGGCCAUCCCC
This 544-nucleotide ribosomal RNA is filed under the name Misgurnus anguillicaudatus (oriental weatherfish). RNAcentral's name for it is "partial 12S rRNA". It matches the Rfam family "Bacterial small subunit ribosomal RNA", at positions 59 to 991 of the family's 1533-position model. Lineage: Eukaryota; Metazoa; Chordata; Actinopteri; Cypriniformes; Cobitidae. The record is from RNAcentral.